Molecule: ribosomal RNA, 166 nt
Filed under: Vibrio cholerae
Lineage: Bacteria; Pseudomonadati; Pseudomonadota; Gammaproteobacteria; Vibrionales; Vibrionaceae
Description: partial 23S ribosomal RNA
Rfam family: Bacterial large subunit ribosomal RNA (bases 1-144)
Source: RNAcentral
GCGAAGCGAGCCCUGAGAUGAGUCUUCCCUGAUACUUUAAGUAUCCUAAAGGGUUGUUCGAGACUAGAACGUUGAUAGGCAGGGUGUGUAAGCGUUGUGAGGCGUUGAGCUAACCUGUACUAAUUGCCCGUGAGGCUUAACCAUACAACACCCAAGGGGUUUUGUA